This 497-nucleotide ribosomal RNA is filed under the name uncultured bacterium. Its description in RNAcentral is "partial 16S ribosomal RNA". It matches the Rfam family "Bacterial small subunit ribosomal RNA", at positions 28 to 507 of the family's 1533-position model. The record is from RNAcentral.
GACGAACGCUGGCGGCGUGCCUAAUACAUGCAAGUUGAGCGAUGAAGAUUGGUGCUUGCACCAAUUUGAAGAGCAGCGAACGGGUGAGUAACGCGUGGGGAAUCUGCCUUUGAGCGGGGGACAACAUUUGGAAACGAAUGCUAAUACCGCAUAACAACUUUAAACAUAAGUUUUAAGUUUGAAAGAUGCAAUUGCAUCACUCAAAGAUGAUCCCGCGUUGUAUUAGCUAGUUGGUGAGGUAAAGGCUCACCAAGGCGAUGAUACAUAGCCGACCUGAGAGGGUGAUCGGCCACAGUGGGACUGAGACACGGCCCAAACUCCUACGGGAGGCAGCAGUAGGGAAGCUUCGGAAAUGGACGAAAGUCUGACCGAGCAACGCCGCGUGAGUGAAGAAGGGUGUCGGAUCGUAAAACUCUGUUGGUAGAGAAGAACGUUGGUGAGAGUGGAAAGCUCAUUAAGUGACGGUAACUACCCAGAAAGGGACGGCUAACUACGUG